This 399-nucleotide ribosomal RNA is filed under the name uncultured archaeon. Its description in RNAcentral is "bacterial SSU rRNA". It matches the Rfam family "Archaeal small subunit ribosomal RNA", at positions 62 to 466 of the family's 1478-position model. The record is from RNAcentral.
AUGUAGCAAUACAUGGCGAACUGCUCAGUAACACGAGGACAACCUGCCCUUAGGUUGGGUAUAAACCCGGGAAACUGGGUAUAAUACCCGAUAGGUCUCGAUUGCUGGAAUGCAUCGAGAUUUAAAGCUCCGGCGCCUAAGGAUGGGUCUGCGGCCUAUCAGGUAGUAGUGGGUGUAGCGUACCUACUAGCCUACGACGGGUACGGGUUGUGAGAGCAAGAGCCCGGAGAUGGAUUCUGAGACACGAAUCCAGGCCCUACGGGGUGCAGCAGGCGCGAAAACUUUACAAUGCUGGCAACAGCGAUAAGGGAACCUCGAGUGCCAGGUUACAAAUCUGGCUGUCGAGAUGCCUAAAAAGCAUUUCAUAGCAAGGGCCGGGCAAGACCGGCGCCAGCCGCC